Molecule: long non-coding RNA, 316 nt
Organism: Hylaeus anthracinus
Lineage: Eukaryota; Metazoa; Arthropoda; Insecta; Hymenoptera; Colletidae
Exons: 3
Source: RefSeq, a predicted model, not a curated record
GAAAAACCAUGCUGUCUGUUUUCGAGCCGAUAGUUGGAAGAAAUUUAUGGAAAUUAUGCACCGUGUCGACGACCUCGCUGAUUUCAACGGCCUUGAACUAUGUCGAAAGAGGAAGGUCACCGAUGAGGAAUCGACGAAGCGAGGCACGCCUAGCGGUAUGCAACCCGUUGCACAGGCAGUUGAAAUCGGCGAGAUCCUCGACACGGUACAUAAUUACCAAAUUUACUUACGAACGAGCAACUUACGGCCGUUGACGCUGAUCGCGCGUGCAAUGAGCCGCGGUGAGAAUGUGUCUUGGACCGAUUAGGGAACCCCC